RNAcentral lists this ribosomal RNA (701 nucleotides) under Pseudomonas sp. Its description in RNAcentral is "bacterial SSU rRNA". It matches the Rfam family "Bacterial small subunit ribosomal RNA", at positions 76 to 773 of the family's 1533-position model. Lineage: Bacteria; Pseudomonadati; Pseudomonadota; Gammaproteobacteria; Pseudomonadales; Pseudomonadaceae. The record is from RNAcentral.
GAGCUUGCUCUUCGAUUCAGCGGCGGACGGGUGAGUAAUGCCUAGGAAUCUGCCUGGUAGUGGGGGACAACGUUUCGAAAGGAACGCUAAUACCGCAUACGUCCUACGGGAGAAAGCAGGGGACCUUCGGGCCUUGCGCUAUCAGAUGAGCCUAGGUCGGAUUAGCUAGUUGGUGAGGUAAUGGCUCACCAAGGCGACGAUCCGUAACUGGUCUGAGAGGAUGAUCAGUCACACUGGAACUGAGACACGGUCCAGACUCCUACGGGAGGCAGCAGUGGGGAAUAUUGGACAAUGGGCGAAAGCCUGAUCCAGCCAUGCCGCGUGUGUGAAGAAGGUCUUCGGAUUGUAAAGCACUUUAAGUUGGGAGGAAGGGCAGUAAGAUAAUACCUUGCUGUUUUGACGUUACCGACAGAAUAAGCACCGGCUAACUCUGUGCCAGCAGCCGCGGUAAUACAGAGGGUGCAAGCGUUAAUCGGAAUUACUGGGCGUAAAGCGCGCGUAGGUGGUUUGUUAAGUUGGAUGUGAAAGCCCCGGGCUCAACCUGGGAACUGCAUCCAAAACUGGCAAGCUAGAGUACGGUAGAGGGUGGUGGAAUUUCCUGUGUAGCGGUGAAAUGCGUAGAUAUAGGAAGGAACACCAGUGGCGAAGGCGACCACCUGGACUGAUACUGACACUGAGGUGCGAAAGCGUGGGGAGCAAAC